This 851-nucleotide ribosomal RNA is filed under the name uncultured Terriglobales bacterium. Its description in RNAcentral is "bacterial SSU rRNA". It matches the Rfam family "Bacterial small subunit ribosomal RNA", at positions 14 to 843 of the family's 1533-position model. Lineage: Bacteria; Pseudomonadati; Acidobacteriota; Terriglobia; Terriglobales. The record is from RNAcentral.
AUGGCCUGGCUCAGAAUCAACGCUGGCGGCGUGCCUAACACAUGCAAGUCGAACGCGAAAGCGGCUUCGGCCGUAAGUAGAGUGGCGAACGGGUGAGUAACGCGUGGGUGACCUGCCUUCGAGUGGGGGAUAACGUUUCGAAGGGAACGCUAAUACCGCAUGACAUCCCGUCCUUGGACGGAUGGUGAUCAAAGCCGGGGAUCGCAAGACCUGGCGCUUGAAGAGGGGCCCGCGUCCGAUUAGCUAGUUGGUAGGGUAAUGGCCUACCAAGGCAACGAUCGGUAGCCGGCCUGAGAGGGCGGACGGCCACACUGGGACUGAGACACGGCCCAGACUCCUACGGGAGGCAGCAGUGAGGAAUUGUUCGCAAUGGGCGCAAGCCUGACGACGCAACGCCGCGUGGAGGAUGAAGAUCUUCGGGUUGUAAACUCCUGUCGAGCGGGACGAAUAUCACCUGGGUCGAUACCCCGGGUGCCUGACGGUACCGCUAAAGGAAGCCCCGGCGAACUCCGUGCCAGCAGCCGCGGUAAUACGGGGGGGACAAGCGUUGUUCGGAAUUACUGGGCGUAAAGAGCUCGUAGGCGGCCAACUAAGUCGGACGUGAAAUCCCUCGGCUUAACCGAGGAACUGCGUCCGAGACGGGAUGGCUUGAAGCCGGGAGAGGGAUGCGGAAUUCCAGGUGUAGCGGUGAAAUGUGUAGAUAUCUGGAGGAACACCGGUGGCGAAGGCGGCAUCCUGGACCGGUCUUGACGCUGAGGAGCGAAAGCCAGGGGAGCAAACGGGAUUAGAUACCCCGGUAGUCCUGGCCCUAAACGAUGAAUGCUUGGUGUGGCGGGUAUCGAUCCCUGCCG